RNAcentral lists this long non-coding RNA (14784 nucleotides) under Capsicum annuum. Its description in RNAcentral is "long non-coding RNA (CANN_LNC003579)". Lineage: Eukaryota; Viridiplantae; Streptophyta; Magnoliopsida; Solanales; Solanaceae. The record is from RNAcentral.
AGUGAAGGAAGUGCUGCAAUUCCUAACAUAAUUCUCCAACCAAGAUGAAGGGGCAAUCUUGAGAAGAUAUAGUUAGACAAAUAACCAAGUAAAAUACCAGUACUAAUUCCAAUUUCUGGUAGAGAUGUUAAGAAUCCACGAGACUUAGGUGAUGAGAUUUCUGCAGAAUAAACUGGUGCUAUCAUAAGUGCAAAACCAACACCAACACCAGCAACACAUCUUCCAAACAAUAAUACUGGAUAAUUAGGGCCAUAUCCCAUUAUAACUGAUCCAAGCAAGAAAAUUACAGAAGCUAUAACGAUAGUGUUACGUCUCCCGAUAAUAUCAGAAGUUCUUCCAGCACAAAGUGAGCCAAUUAAAGCACAUAAAUUAAGAAUCCCUGCCAAUACUUCUGUUUUGUGAUCAUUGAUGUGGAAUUCUUUCUUCACAAAUAUCAUAGCUCCGCUCAUCACACCAGUAUCUAACAAAAUAAAAACAUAUAAAUUCUUGUUAGAACAUAAUAUGUACGGUAUAUAAAUUCACACUUCUUUUUCUUUUCUAAUCAAUUAAUUAAAAGUAAGUACAUGCAUGCAUGAGGUAAAAUCUCUAUAUAUGUUUUGUAACUGGCUUUCUCUGGUAGGUUAAAAGGUAGGAGUGUUUAUCGCUCGAUUCGGUUCAUAUUAUGGGUUCAGUUUGUCGAUAUUAUAUCGGUUAAUCCAGCAAGUAAAUUUCAGACAUAGAUGAUGGCUAAAGAAAAACAAGAAGGAGAAUUUAAAUUAUUGAAGAAGAAAACUUACCAUAGCCAAAGAUGAUAGAUAUCAUGGAAGCAACAAUAGCACAAGCAGCUGCAUAUUUAUUAACCUUAGUGGGAUUUUCUAUACUAUCAUUCUCCAUAUUUUCUCAAUACAAUAUAGCUUAAAUUAAAAAAUUUUGUUUUGAUAAUAAAGUGACAAAAUCAUAUAAAACUCAGAUAUGAUGAUAGCAUGGAAGAAAAUCCCCCUUACGAUAGAAGUUCAACGUAAUAAUAUUACGUUUGAACUUGUGAAGAAUUAAUGUUAUGUUGAUAGUAAUAGGUCCAUAGUACGAUAUAUAUAAGAAUUAUAAGUUACAUGAGUCCUCAUUAUUGGAUUGACAUGUGGUCUUGCGUUUCCAACGCCGGCUUUAUUUGGAUAUCAUUGAUAUUCAUUUAGUGGUAUUCCGAUCAGUUUGUGUAUAUUUUGUUAAUGUAUUGAAUGUAUGUUAGCUAUCGGUGUAUAAUUUAAAAUUGAUCAGUUCAAACUUUAAGUUGUUAAUGCUGAUUCAUUAUAGAUAGAAAUUUAUGUAUUUUCAAAUUUUAAUCUAAUUAAUUUGUUGAAAUUUUAGUGAUUCUAAUUGCACUCCUUCUCACCAUCAAUAAAUAUAUACAUAAUAAAGAAGAAUCUAGAAGAGUUGAUGUGUUAUCUCUCAUAAGUUAGAAUUCUUAUUUAUUUUUUUCUCAAAAUUUUGGACAUUUUCUUAUUUAUUUCUUACUAUUUAUUAAUUUGUGUAAUAUUUAAAAAAAAAAAAAAACAGAAAUCAUCUCAUUUAAUAAAUAAUGAAAUUGUCGAUUUUAAGUGAACUAAACACUGUACCGAUGUGGUUACUACUAGUACCAUUGUCCAUUCAAUUCCUUUGUCUUCAUGUCUUUGACAUUCAAGAGAGGGUUCCAUAUAAAUAUGAGCAUAAUAUAAUUAAGUACUGUUAAUUACAAUUUCCAUGAAGAAUUGAGUGAAUAUUGAGUGUUUUUAUUUUUUUAAAAAAUAUUGAAUUCUAAAUUUCUUCUAAUAUUCUUUUUUUCAGUCACAGAUUUAUGCUCCAACACUUGCAUAUUAGUUCCGACCAGAAUGAUUGAGAAUGUAACUAUAACAAGAAAUUCUCAAGGCAAGCAAACAUAUUCUUCUUUUAGUAUUUUUGGAUUAAAGUUUGUAAGAAAAACCUAUUAAACUCAUAAAACCUUGAUUUUUUUUUAUUUUUUUUUUUUUUUUUUUUUUUUUUUUUUUUGUUGUUGUUGUUGUUAGAGUGUAUACCCUACUAAUUUUAAUAUUUAACUCUACUGGUUGCCUAUCUGUGGAACAGGUAAGUAAACGUGGUUCACAGAAGUAAAAACUGAACACAGUGUUUUUACUUGGAAAACACCCGGCUUAAGAAAGGUGUAAAAAACCACAACCUGUACUUCUACAGGAUUUAACCUCAACUUCACUUUAACUCUUGAGCCUCAACAAUCAACAAUAUUACAAGACUUCUUGUAAAACUAGGAAUUAAAACUUCUAACUCCUAUACUACAAAAACACAAAUCUUCCCAAGAUAAGUGUUCCCAAGUCUUCGAGUUCCCUAACUUGAAGACACAACUCCUAACUCAAUUUAUAGAUCACUGAGACUAGAACAAUGACUCAUUACAACUCAAAGAACCUACCUAUUACAAACAGUCUAUGACUUGCUAAGUAAGGGAUCAGGUUCUUCUUCAAGUAAGUGAACAGUUUUGCUGAUUGCUGAUUACCUUUUCAGUGCAUUGAGUGAAUCCUUUGAAAGUCAUUUCUUCUAUUUAAGCCAACAUCUAAUAGAGUCCUUUAGUUGAUGUAUAUUUUUAUCUUCACUAGGACUCCCAGAUAGUUUCACUCAUUCUUUACUGCCUUCUCUCCAGACUUCUUGUUUGACUGAACUUCUUCGAGAUUUCUUGUUCAACUCAACUUCUGCAAAACUUCUUGUUCAAACCAAACUUCUGCAAGACUUCUUGUUCAACUUCAACUUCAACUUCUGCAAGAUUUCUUGUUCAACUCAACUUCUAUUGUGAUAAGUGUUAUCCACUCCUAUUUUGCACGCAGAGUCAUCUUUUCAAUAACUUGCCUGUAACUUUGUUCACUUGGAUGGAACAGAUAGCACAACAUGUUUCAUUCACAUGUCCAUCAUCAAAACUUCACAGUCCCUAACAAAUUCCCUCUUUUUGAUGAUGACAAACUUAGCAGCUCAGCACCUAGUUAUUCAAUCCUGACAUACGCAGUAAAGGAAUCAAAAUAGAAAAUCACAGAAUGAAACAAGUUAAGUUGGGUUAUAAGCAUUGUAUAAUCUGUUCUUCCCCCUUUUGACAUCAUCGAAAAGCUGGAACACCAAGUAAAAAUAGUCCAAUAAUUCAUGGCCACUGGGUAUAUCACUAAAAUAUUCAAGAAUCAAAGCAAAAGAACAACUAUGCAUUUAAAAAAAUAGAAGCAGAACACAUUAAGUAGAAGAAAAUCCAUUGCAGUCAUAGAACAAGGUACAAUUUAUCAUAAACCAAUAAUAGCAUCAAAGAAGAAACAGCUAGGACGAAGAGACAAUGAGGAAAGAUGCCUAAGGCACUAAGAAGGGCUUAAGUGGAUGAGGAAGAGGGGAUAAGGAAGGUUAGAUUCCUAAUGAUAUCAACAUUUUCAGCUCUUUCUUUUUCCAAGAUGACUGUGAGGGAAGCAAUUUGAGCUUGAAGGACCUAUUUCUCCUCCUCAUAAGCUGCCUGGGCAGCCUUCAAUGUAGUUUGUGCCACUUCUACCUCACCUUGCUUGGCAGUCAGCACUCCUCAUAGCAACAGGUAACAUAGCAUGGUUCACAGAUCCAAUAACAUCCUUUGUGGUUUGCAGUGACCACACUUUGACAGGAACAUGAAAAUCCUCAAAAACAGGGGCAAACCAGAACUCAUAUGGCAAAGCAUGGCCAUUUACAUCUUGGAGGAAGACCCUUUGCAUGUGCUUGAUGAUGAGUCUAGGUAGGUCAAUGGGGAUUUGAGAAUCUAAUAGUUCCAUCAAGGUGAGAUCAAGAAAAUUGGCAAUUGUUCUCCUUUCCUACCUAGGAAGGAUCAUUUGUGAACCACAUCAAAAUAAAAUUGAUAAAGGGGGGACAUUUCAUUCUUCAAGACCCUACGAUGAGCAAGAAGAUGAGGAUUUCCUAAAGAUAUUAAGAGCAGAUGGGAUAUUUUCAAGAGGUAGUCAAGAACCUUUCACAUAAUGUGCCCAACCUCCAGAAGGAACAUGCAGAAUCCUAGCUAAAUCAGCUGGAUAGAGAUUAAUGAUUUUCCCAUGAACUGUGGUAGAGAACUGUAACACCCCGAAUCUGAUAUCCAGAAUGCAACAUGGUGCUUAUGACCCUGAAGGCCCACAAUCUAACCUAUGACUGAUAUCUAUAACUGAGCACUGAAUAAUAUACUGUAAUUAUGCGAAAUAUAAGCUAUAAGGCCAUAAGGUUCAAAACUAAACUAAUACUGAAUAUAAAUAAUAUCUAUAAUAGGGUAUAACAAUACCCAAAACUAAAGUAAAACUGCCUGAAAAAUAUGUUAUAGUCUGAAAACCUCUAAACUGUCUGAAAACUGUGGAGUUGAUGGGAUAUGUCCCCAACUAACUCCGAACUACUGAAAUAAUAAAGUAAUAAAAUAAUCAUGCCAUCCUCGAAGAGGGGAUAAGGAAGGUUAGAUUCCUAAUGAUAUCAACAUUUUCAGCUCUUUCUUUUUCCAAGAUGACUGUGAGGGAAGCAAUUUGAGCUUGAAGGACCUAUUUCUCCUCCUCAUAAGCUGCCUGGGCAGCCUUCAAUGUAGUUUGUGCCACUUCUACCUCACCUUGCUUGGCAGUCAGCACUCCUCAUAGCAACAGGUAACAUAGCAUGGUUCACAGAUCCAAUAACAUCCUUUGUGGUUUGCAGUGACCACACUUUGACAGGAACAUGAAAAUCCUCAAAAACAGGGGCAAACCAGAACUCAUAUGGCAAAGCAUGGCCAUUUACAUCUUGGAGGAAGACCCUUUGCAUGUGCUUGAUGAUGAGUCUAGGUAGGUCAAUGGGGAUUUGAGAAUCUAAUAGUUCCAUCAAGGUGAGAUCAAGAAAAUUGGCAAUUGUUCUCCUUUCCUACCUAGGAAGGAUCAUUUGUGAACCACAUCAAAAUAAAAUUGAUAAAGGGGGGACAUUUCAUUCUUCAAGACCCUACGAUGAGCAAGAAGAUGAGGAUUUCCUAAAGAUAUUAAGAGCAGAUGGGAUAUUUUCAAGAGGUAGUCAAGAACCUUUCACAUAAUGUGCCCAACCUCCAGAAGGAACAUGCAGAAUCCUAGCUAAAUCAGCUGGAUAGAGAUUAAUGAUUUUCCCAUGAACUGUGGUAGAGAACUGUAACACCCCGAAUCUGAUAUCCAGAAUGCAACAUGGUGCUUAUGACCCUGAAGGCCCACAAUCUAACCUAUGACUGAUAUCUAUAACUGAGCACUGAAUAAUAUACUGUAAUUAUGCGAAAUAUAAGCUAUAAGGCCAUAAGGUUCAAAACUAAACUAAUACUGAAUAUAAAUAAUAUCUAUAAUAGGGUAUAACAAUACCCAAAACUAAAGUAAAACUGCCUGAAAAAUAUGUUAUAGUCUGAAAACCUCUAAACUGUCUGAAAACUGUGGAGUUGAUGGGAUAUGUCCCCAACUAACUCCGAACUACUGAAAUAAUAAAGUAAUAAAAUAAUCAUGCCAUCCUCGAAUGAUGAGGACUCAUUGCUAGUAUGGUUGCUAAACGUCUGAUCUACUAAAGAUGCUCCGGAGCUCGUACUCCUAAACCUAUGGUAUAAAACACCAUAGCGCAAAUGUGUCAGUACAUUGAAUGUACUGGUAUGCAAGUGAGGUAGGCUAAAUACAAUUAUGCAUGAACGAUACUAACUGACUGAAUAACAUGAACGUGAGAAUACAUGCAUGAAUAUGUAACUGUGACUGACAUCGUGAUAGGACUGAAUACUGAGUUCUGACUACUAAGUUUACUGAUAACAAGGAUUUACUGAUAUCUAAGUUAACUAUUACUGGAAUACAGAUUAACUGUAUUACUGAUAAAUUGACAACUGAGUUUACUGAUAUGGAUAUCUGAAUAUUUAUUUAUGAUAGUUCUAAUUAUGAAGAACUGAUCUGAUUGACUGUAUCUGACAGUCCUAAAUCUGAAUACUGAUAACAUGAGUUUCGUAUAACUAGUAGGCUGAUACUGAGCGACUGUAUCUGACAGUCUAAGUUCUGAUGGAACUAGCUGAGUUUCGUACUGUACUGAGUGACUGUAUCUAAUAGUCUUAAAAUUUGUAGAACUAUCUGAGUUCUAUUACUGAGACUGAGACUGAGACUGAAACUGAGACUGUGGAAGGUAAUCAUUUAAUCGACAUGCCACAAAACUUUACUGGUGGGGUCCAACCUGUAACCCCAGUUCGAAGAGUGUCAGUAUUGAGCCACAGGUAAAGACAAGCUGUGAGGUAACCCUCUCUGAUGGGAAGCUCUUUCGUCAACCCUCCUGUAGGAAUAACCCCAAACGAGAUGAGAUGUAUUAGUAGCCCUACGCAUAGGAAAAUAUCUCAAUCUACGCUGGCUACGUAGUUCUGGAAUGCAAGGAUUGCUUGUAAGGAUCACACCCUCCACUAAAUAACAGGCGAGUCCCCAUCCUUGGGUUCACUCGGUGCUGAAUACUACUCCCAACUGAAUAGAUACUGAACUGACUAACUGAACUGAACUGAACUGACACUAAUGGUAUUGUUUAGUGGAGCUAAACUGAUUUCACUAAGUUUCGUUGACUGACGAAAUGCUACUGAGAUCUGAGGACUGAGGAUAGUACUAAAGUUACUAAGAUUUCUGGGAAUACUGAGGUUAACGAGAUUACUGAGUACUGAGAUCACUGAGAUUACUGAACUACUGAGAUUAUUAAGAUUUCAAAGAUUUCUGGAAGAGACUGGACUAAUACAGAGUUUACUGAGUUUUCCUGAGUCAUGCGACUUACUAAAUUCUACUGAUCAUGGCUUGACUGAGAUUAUCGUGAAAACAUGACAUGACUCUAGGCACACAGCUAAAUUGUCGGGUACAAGUACCCCCAAGACUCGAUAAGAUGAAACUGACAAGGCUUGAUAUUUUUGAUCACAUGACCAAUAUCAACAAUUCAUAAUUUCAUAGUUGGGGAUUUCAUGAAGAACAUGAUCAUCAUAAUGCUGUACAUAGAUAGUAAUGCGUAUAAACAUGGAAUAAUUUUAUGCUUCUAAUCUUAUGAACAUCUCAUCAAGCAAUCACAAUGCAUAGUUUUUGCAUGGGAAUCAUCAUAAUCAGGUAGGUAUAGCAUAACUUAAGAGACAUGACAUAAUCUUGACACAUGGAAACUAAGUACUUGAUCAUCAUUCAUUCAUUGGGGCAUAUUAUCAAACACCUUGCAUGAACACUUAGGGCAUAGGUAUGAUCAUCAAUUUAAUACAACAUGGUUCCACAAUUUAACUCAAUUGCAUGAAUUUCAACCAUAUACUAACAUAGUUUUAUGAAAACAUGAUAAAAAUGCAAUCUUGAUAAUCAUACAACAAUAACAACAUGAACAUAGUCAAUUCAAAACAAUGGCAUCAUGACAUAUAGUUUAAAAUAGGGUUCUUGAGCUUCAUGGACGAAAGAAGUCCAUGAAUCAACACUGUGCAUACCUUAGUUGUUGAUUCUACGAAGAUUAAUGGAGAGAUUCUUGAAUUUGAGUCUUGGAUUUGAAUUCUCAAUUGAAAACCCUAGUUUUUUCUUGAGAGUAACUUGAGAGAAACAAUAUAUUUUGGGUGAAAUAUGACUGAAUCACGUGUUAUUGGGUUUAUAUAGGGAUGGAAUUAACCCUUUUAACCCUUGGACGCGUAUUUUAAUUCUGUGAAAUUUUUUUGAUUUUCAUCCUUGGCACGGGGCGCCACUAUCUCACCAAGUCACUGGAAAGUGACAAAUGGGAAAUUGCACGGCGGCGCGAUGCGGAACUAUCGCAUUGCCACUUUAUUUGUGACCUAGAAGUUUGGCGCGAAGCGGAGAUAUCGCGCUGAGACACUGGAAAAAGGACAAUUCUGAAUUUGAGCCUUGGCGCGAUGCGCCAUAAUCGCGGAGGCACACUGGAUUUUGACGAUGGCCAUUUUGACCUGCUCCGCGAUGCGCUGAUGGCUCAAGUGGGACAUUGUCUUACUAAAAAGGCUCUAACUCUUCGUCCGGGUAUCGGAUUUGGGCAAAUUUAGUAUCGAUGGAAAGCUUAUUCAAUUUUCCACAUGACAAAGAGUGAAAAUAUUGAAAAUAACACAUGUAUAAAAGUGGAUUCAUCAUUAAAACAAGUCUUUAACAUUGUUGGGAUGAAUUUAAGCUAGGUAGAAGUACGGGAUAUUAAAAGAACAUUUCCCCAAUAGCAACUCCAUUUGUGUAAAACUCAUAAACUUCAUCCUUUCCAAACUUAAUUUGAUGAUCACCUUGCAGAAACAGGUGUGACCACCCUUGAAUUCUUAAUUUUGUGACCAGGAUAUCCAUAUUAGGGCCCCUCAAAACCAGUGACAACCCUUUCUCUAGCCAACUUUCAUUUUAGAAAGUGGAGAACAUGUGCUGACUGAGAAGACUUAUCGGUAGGAGUAUCAACAUCAAAAUCAAUGUCAAGAUCAGGAUUAAUUUCAGUGGAUGGAGUAGGAGGAGUAGCAAGAAGAUAGUUACGAUCUGAGUUUGAUGAGUCAGAAGAAACAGGUUUGGGGACUUGUUUCUUCGGACAUGAUAUAGAUGAUGAGGAAACUUUUAAGAAAGAUGAGGCUUUAACAGUAGUUGUGGGUUUUGAGGAAGAUAAAGUUUUUGAAGUAGGUUGGGAAGACGAUUUAUGGGACAAGGACGAUUUAGGAAUUUUUGCCAAAAUAGUUUUAUUCUUCCUUACUGAAUGAAGAAGGAUAUCAGGGGAGGAUGCUUGAGGAGAUGAGGGACCAGAGGUAGCAAUCCGUUUAUUUUUACUAGCACGAAGUGCUUCUUCCAGAGAAGCAUCUUCUCAUUGCUUCUUUCCUCGAGUAUGAGGAGUACGAGGAGUAGAAGUAACAUGGAAAGGUUCAACAUGGACGAUAUCAUCAGCUUCAAUGGAGAUUGAAGAGGGUUUUUUCUGUGGCUUGGAUCUGGAUCUUUGUGGAACUAAAUUAGCAAUAGGGAUAUCAUCUCGAUCAAUGGGAGUGUCAUCUUGAUCAAGAAUCUGAUGAGGGAUUGGAGGUAGCAGUGCAGAUUCAGAGAAGGGUGAGGGUUUGAAAGAAAAAUUUGCAAAAGGGUUUUGCAAAUUCUGGAAUAAUGCAAAAUUGGAUAGCUUGAUAGAAGGUGGGGGAUGAAUAAAAGGAGGUAAGGUAAUAUUAGGAUGAAGAAUAAUGGUUUUUGGUGAAGUACAAGUGGAGUCAGUAGGUGGUGAAGAAUAAGAUGCCAUGGUGAAAUUUAUGAUGACCAGUGAUUUUCUUUAUGUUCCUUUCAGCCCUUUCGUUCAUCCAUUCUAUUUCCCAGACUGGACAGUCUCUGAUUUGAUGAUCAGUUUUGCCACACUUGUAGCAACCAUUUGGAUUGUCAUUGGAACGUUUCUUACUACCUGUUCCCUUUUUUUUCUUAAAGAAUUUGCUGAAGUUCUUAGUUAUGAAAGCAACUUGUUCCUUAUCAAGUUCAAAUUCCUCAUCACUAUUAGAAGCUUUUAAUGCCAAGAUUUUCUCAGGAGAUUCUUGUUCUUUGGUUCCAUCUACUUCCAUUUCGUAAGUUCUUAAGUUCCCUAUUAGCUCAUCCAGGGUCAUACCUGCAAGAUCCUUAUUUGCCUUCCUGAUUCCAGUCACCAUAACAUUCUAUUUUGAUUUAGGUAAUACCCUUAGUACCUUUUCGACUUGUUCCUCCUUAGAGAUGACUUUUCCUAAGGAAGUCAACUCAUUUGUUAAGGUGGUAAGUCUUUUCAUCAUCUCAUGUAGGGUUUCAUUUUCAUUUAUUUUAAAUGCCUCAUACUCAGUAAAAAGAAGAGAAAUCCUGAAUUUUCUUACUUUAGAGGUACCUUCAUGAGCAUUCACUAGUGUAUCCCAAAUUUUCUUAGCAGUGGUGUAAGUUGAUACCCUGUUAUAUUCAGCAGGUCCUAAUCUACAGACCAAGAUGUUCUUGGCCUUAGCAUUUUUCUUCAAGGCCAAUAAGUCAUCAGGAGUAAAUUCACUCCUUACUUUCUUGACUGGUUCACCAUCAACAAAUUUCAUUGGAAUAGUGGGACCAUCAGUAAUCCUAUCCCACAAUUCAUAGUCCUCACCUUGGAUGAACAUCUCCAUUCUUGCUUUCCACCAGAUAAAGUGAAAGCCAUCAAAGAGUGGAGGUCUAGCAGUUGACUGACCUUCACUGUGACCAGUAGGAGGUGCGGAAUUCAUCAUUAAUCUUUUCUUAGGUGCUAACCUUAUUUAAGACAACCUCGCUCUGAUACCACUUGUUAGAGUGUAUGCCCUACUAAUUUUAAUAUUUAACUCUACUGGUUGCCUAUCUGUGGAACAGGUAAGUAAACAUGGUUCACAGAAGUAAAAACUGAAUACAGUGUUUUUACGUGGAAAACACCCGGCUCAAGAAAGGUGUAAAAAACUAUGACUUUUACUUCUACAGGAUUUAACCCCAACUUCACUUUAACUCUUGAGCCUUAAUAAUCAACAAUAUUACAAGACUUCUUGUAAAACUAGGAAUUAAAACUUCUAACUCCUAUACUACAAAAACACAAAUCUUCCCAAGAUAAGUGUUCCCAAGUCUUCGAGUUCCCUAAAUUGAAGACACAACUCCUAACUCAGAUUAUAGAUCACUGAGACUAGAACAAUGACUCAUUACAACUCAAAGAACCUACCUAUUACAAACAUUCUAUGCCUUACUAAGUAAGGGGUCAGGUUAUUCUUCAAGUAAGUGAACUGUUGUGCUGAUUGUUGAUUAUCUUUUCGGUGCAUUGAGUGAAUCAUUUGAAAGUCGUUUCUUCUAUUUAAGCGAACAUCUGAUAGAGUCCUUUAGUUGGUGUAUAUUUCUAUCUUCACUAGGACUUCCAGGUAGUUUCAAUCAUUCUUUACUUGCUUCUCUCCAGACUUUUUGUUUGACUGAACUUCUUCGAGAUUUCUUGUUCAACUCAACUUCUGCAAAACUUCUUGUUCAAACCAAACUUCUGCAAAAUUUCUUGUUCAACUUCAACUUCUGCAAGAUUUCUUGUUCAACUCAACUUCUGUUGUGAUAAGUGUUAUCCACUCCUAUUUUGCACGCAGACUUCUUAUUCACUUGGAUGGAACAACUAGCACAACAUAUUUCAUUCACAUGUCCAUCAUCAAAACUUCCCAGUCCCUAACAGUUAUCCUUGUUAUUGUCAUUAUUAUUAUUAUUAUUAUUAUUAUUAUUAUUAUUAUUGGUUGAUUUUGAGUCCUUUAAAUUGUGUUUGGUGAAUUGUAGUUUCAGCCAAGGAUUGGUGAGUCUAACUUUUAGUCUUUGAAACUCUUUUUCGUUUCUUUGUUUUUUAUUUAUUUAUGUCAUCUCCUCUCAAUGAUGAAGGUUAAUUUAGAAAUAGUCAAAGUAACAGAUAUUUAAUAUUGAAAAUCUGGAGGCGAAGAUGAAAUGAUGGUGAAACCAGAAAUUUUGUUCAAAGUGUUCGAAAAAAGAGAAAUUUCAGUUGAAGUGACAGGUUUAUAUUCUAAUUUGAUGGAGUGAGCUAUAGUUUGCUUCUUCGUAGCUUGGAAUACCAAGAAAAUUUGUUUCUUUCGCACUAGUAAAAGUACGAUCAUCACGAUUUCCAGCCCAAUCAACAUUGGAAAAGGAUUAUUACAAAACAAAGGGAGAGUGCUUAGAAAUUUGAAGUAGUUAGCCCUUUUUUCCAUUGUUCUAGUAUGAAUUAAUCACCUUUUUAAGAGCAAUUCAAUGCUUUACGGUUCUUUGUUGGAGUCUCUUCUUUUUUGGGUGCUCUCACGACAAGUUCUUUUCGAUAUUGUAAUAAUAUUGCUUGCCACUCUUUGGUCCGGUAAACCAACUCCAACCAAGCCCAACACUUAUGUUCUACAUGAAAAUUGAGCAAGCCAAAUUGGUAGCAAAGGCAAUGUCAUAGUCUCGUUAGUGCCAAGUACUAAAGACAUCCAAUCAAAAUUUGAUAGUAUUAUUUUGAAUUACUCAAAAUGAGCACUAUCUUUCAAGGCCAAAACUUUUGUAGUUGCAAAUAGAGUAGAAAUAAGCUUUGCACCACAUAUUAAAUCACCCUCAACAGUACAUCAAUUCCAUAAAGAUAGAUAUAUAUAAGCCUUUGGUAGUGGCGAAUCACUUCAUAAAAACCCAAAAAGUAAACAAGUUGCUCAAGUUUUUUUUUUUUUUUAAUCGAAAACUACUUAUCAAGCUUAGCAAUAAUAAAGAUAUCAAGUUUGAAUGGCGUGGCGUCUGUUUGAGACCAUAUAAAGUCAUGCACUUGACAUACAUAAUAAAGCUGAACAGGAUUGCCAAAGCGUUGUACACAUCCUCCAUCAAAUGUCCAUGAAGAUGAGGCAUAUUAUUAAUAUCUAAUUGUUGUAUAUUCCAGUCUUCACUAACAAGUACAUACAUACAUGAGAUAAAAUUAUGAGAAUUGAACUGCUGUAUGUUUAGCCACAGGUGGAAAUGUUUGAAUGUAAUCAAUACUUGGUCGCUGAGUAAAUUCUUUAGAAACUAAUCGCGCAUUAUAUUUGCAUAAGAUAUCAUCUAAAUUUUGCUUUACGCGAAAUUUCACUUGCAACCAAUUAUAUAAUUUUGUGAUUCUAAUUAUCUAGGAACAGGCGUCCAUAUCCUCUGAUCUGUUGUUUCAACGCAUUAUAUUCGUCUGUCUCAGCAGAUUGGAGUUGUUGUGCAUGGACGAGAUUCUUGGUGUAUGAAUUAGGUGAUUGAUGACCAUCCCAUUUACCAUUUGUUCAAAAGUUUUGUGUUCUUAUUUACAUAGACAUCUUUAUAUGUAUAUAUAUAUAUAUAUAAAAGAGAUCUGAACUUGAAAUUUUUUUCUAUUCAAUUUAUAAUACCGAGGGCAAGAGAUAUCAUUUUCACAUUACUUGACAGUGAAAGGGAGGGAAUAUAUAAAGUUCAGUUACUUUAAUAUCAUAAAAUAUACUUUUGCAAGUGGUGGUGAUGGGCAAAAUUGUAUGACUAUAAAAUUAACCCUUGUUUAAAUUUAAGGAGUCAAUUUCACUUUGCCCCUAAUAUUUAAUGUUUGGAAACGAUAUUCCUUUCACUUUACCCCAGAAUUUAAGGAUUGAAUAUUACUAGUAUUAUUGAAACCGAAACCUCAAGAUUCAAUUAGGUGGCUUUUAGUUCCAAUAGUUUCAUAUAAAGUAAGCCAUAUAUAUUAGAUACUUUUGCUAUAUCAUCCUAGCUAAUUUUUUGCCAGACUCAUCUUUUUUGACUAUAGUCGUUGAGAUGUUACAUGGAGUAUCCAUUUGCCUCAAUGCACUUGUGACAAAUGAGUGUGAUAUGGGUCUCAGGUAAAAAAAUAAAAAUGAUUUACCUGUGACAAUAUUUGUACUGGUUACUUACCAGCAUCCUUGCCUAAUUCCAUGUUACACAGGAGAUGGUCAUUUUAUGGGGUACCAGCCAUAUCAUCCCAGCUAAUUAUAUUUCUGGACUCAUGUUGCUAAGUUUAGUAUUAUUUGAGAUUACUAUGUGACCUGGAGUAUUCACUUACCCCAAAGUAUCAGUGCUAAAUAAGUGUGACAUGGGUAUAAGUAUUUCAUCAAUCAACAACCAGUGGGAAAGCUUUAAAAAGAAAUAAUUAAGAAAAAAUUCUCUCUUUUCAAUUUCAUAUAUAUACACCGGGCUACCUUUUAUAUCAAAUAUAUACACAAAUAUAAAAUGCAAAAACCUGCCCUGGAUGUUUAUUUGUUAGUAUCGUCUGCGUUCUUGCGUCUGGUGAAAAGAGAUUCCAUUUCUUCCAAAGACUUUCCUUUGGUCUCAGGGCAAAAGAAGAUGACGAAAAACAAAGCCACCACAGAUACUCCACAAAACAAGAAGAAAGUACCUCCAAUAGUAAUUGCAUUAGACAUGGUGAGGAAAGUCAUUGAAACAGUAGCAUUCAUCAACCUAUUGACUGCAACACCAAUUCCAUUACCCAAUGCCCUAUACCUUAGAGGAUAUAUCUCAGCACUAUAAACCCAUGUAACUGGUGCAAGUCCGAUGUUGAAAAACCCCACAUAUGCAUAAGUUGAAAUGAUACUAAGUACCAAAGCCCAAAUAAUUUUCCCACCAGAAUGCUCUGCCAAUGUCAAGAAAGUUCCAAGUCCAGCUAAUGUGCAGAUCAUGCCAAUCACACUAAAUAACAAUAACUUUCUCCUCCCAACUUUGUCAACCAAGAAAGUAGAUGCUACUAUAGCUAUAAAUUUUGUCAAUCCAACUCCAACUGUGGCUAGUAUUUGCUUCCUUGUGUCAUGUACUCCUGCCUUGGCAAAAAUCUUGUGACUAUAUAAUAUCACAGCUUCAAUACCAGUUGCGUGUUCAAAGAAAUGAAUUCCCACACCAGCAAUUAAAAUCCAUCUUAGUGCUGGGGUUGGUCUUAACAACAAUUCUUUCCAAACCCCGUGUGAUUCUUUUGAUUCAUGAAUCUUGACAACGUCAUCGUCGCAAUUUUCAUCGAUUCCUACAGAUUGUUGAAUAUCCCUGAGUCGAAUUUCAGCUUGUUCAGGUGUAUUAGAAACUUUGUACAGUAUUUUCUUGGCGUCACCUAGACGGCCUUUCAUAAUAAGCCACCUAGGAGACUCAGGCAUUUUAAGAAGGCCAACGGCCAAGAGAAGUGAAGGAAUUGCUGCAAUUCCUAACAUAAUUCUCCAACCAAGAUGAAGGUAUAAUCUUGAGAAAAUGUAGUUAGAUAAAUAACCAAGUAAAAUACCAACACUAAUUUCCAAUUUCUGGUAGAGAUGUUAAAAAUCCACGCGUCUUAGGUGAUGAGAUUUCUGCAGAAUAAACUGGUGCUAUCAUAAGUGCAAAUCCAACACCAACACCAACACCAACACCAGCAACACAUCUUCCACCUAAUAAUGUAAUAUAAUUUGGACCAUAUCCCAUUAAAACUGAACCAAGCAAGAAA